This 458-nucleotide ribosomal RNA is filed under the name uncultured bacterium. Its description in RNAcentral is "partial 16S ribosomal RNA". It matches the Rfam family "Bacterial small subunit ribosomal RNA", at positions 338 to 795 of the family's 1533-position model. The record is from RNAcentral.
CCUACGGGUGGCAGCAGUGGGGCAUAUUGCACAAUGGGGGAAACCCUGAUGCAGCGACGCCGCGUGAGUGAAGAAGUAUUUCGGUAUGUAAAGCUCUAUCAGCAGGGAAGAAAUAGCGACCUUUGGGUCGCCAGACGGUUCCUGAUUAAGAAGCCCCGGCUAACUUCGUGCCAGCAGCCGCCGUCAUACGUAGGGGGCAAGCGGUAUCCGGAUUUACUGGGUGUAAAGGGGGCGUAGACAGCAGCGCAAGUCUGGAGUGAAAAGCCGGGGCUUAAACCCGGGACUGCUUUGGAAAUUGUGGAGCUAGAGUGCAGGAGAGGUAAGUGGAAUUCCUGGUGUAGCGGUGAAAUGCGUAGAUAUAAGGAGGAACACCAGUGGCGAAGGCGGCUUACUGGACUGUAACUGACGUUGAGGCUCGAAAGCGUGGGGAGCAAACAGGAUUAGAUACCCUAGUAGUC